CCCAUGGAAGGUUGUGAGUCGCCUGAAUAGUAGUAGUUAUCGUUCUUGAAACUUAAAGAAUUUGGCGGUAUUUUAGUCUACUCAGAGGAACCUGUCCUAUAAUUGAUGAUCCACGAUUAAUUGCACUUAUUUUAAAUGUUUGUAUAUCGUCGUAGGUUGAAUGUUUUUAAAGAAAAUGGAAUAUUCAAAAUUUAUACUAAUAAAGAAAAUCAGAUCAAGAUACAGCGCAUAAAUAAGAAGAGAUGGGUUACAAUAAAUAAAUUUAUAUGGUUAAAAUAAUUAACAUUAUUUUAUAAAGUGGAUUUGAAAGUAAUGUAAUUUAGUUAAAUUACAUGAGUAUAGCUCUAGAAUAUGCACAUAUCGCCCGUCGCUCCCUCUCCAAGGGGGGAUAAGUCGUAACAUAGUAAGGGAGGGGGAGACGACUUUAGUGCUCUUCCUGUCACUCUGUCCCCAGAGGGAAAAAAGCACUAUCUCGGUUGUUAAAGGAUGAUGACAAGAGCGGGGGGAUGCUCUUCGUGUUGCUACUUAAAAAACGGCAUGCACCGCUGGUGGGGCGGGCCCCCGUCCUUCUUUUUGAUUCUCUUCUUGCGACCCUCCUCGCCGGGAGUGAGUGGUUAGUGAGUUGCUGCAUCAGUGGGAGGCGAAACCCUCUCACACCUCUCAUUCGUCGUGAGCGCAUGACUACCAAGGUAUGUAUUCUGUCGCUCCCACCCUUCGCACUUUUUGUUCAGUUACAGACAGUAACUCGCUUUGCUCGUGCUGUUCCAUCCAAUAGCCACUCAUUUCACGCUACACAUGCUAUUUCCACCUGUCUGCUUCUGAAGUCAAGUUUCUACAACUGACCAUUGAACCGUUUGAGGUUGGAGUCCUUGCUUUGAAAUUAGUGAUCAGUAAUGCUACGUCGCUUUAAUCUUAUGACUCCUGACAACGGUACGACAGCUAGCCAACUUACG
RNAcentral lists this ribosomal RNA (953 nucleotides) under Anomala albopilosa. RNAcentral's name for it is "partial 12S ribosomal RNA". The record is from RNAcentral. Lineage: Eukaryota; Metazoa; Arthropoda; Insecta; Coleoptera; Scarabaeidae.